RNAcentral lists this long non-coding RNA (731 nucleotides) under Pan troglodytes (chimpanzee). RNAcentral describes it as "long non-coding RNA NONPTRT002510". The record is from RNAcentral. Lineage: Eukaryota; Metazoa; Chordata; Mammalia; Primates; Hominidae.
UGAAGCUUAGGUUGCAUUCCUUACCAAUUAAAUGUCUAGGAACAGGAACCAGACAUCAAUUUUUUUUUUUUUUUUUUGAGACGAAAUCUCUGUCGCCCAGGCUGGAGUGCAGUGGUGGAAUCAUGGCUCACUGCAACCUCUGCCUCCUAGGUUCAAGCGAUUCUCUUUUCCUUUCUUUAAGUGCCUCUAGAAGAAUGAAUGUUUGGGUCAUAAACCAAUUAAAAAAUUAAAAAAUUGGUUUAUGACCAACAAAAAAGGGAUGCUGAAAUUACUAUCACCAGAUUGAUAUUUGGUUGGUUAGAUGGGGGUUUUGUUCAACUUUCUAAAUAGUCUUGGUAAACUUGAUAAGGAUCAUAUCAUAUGAUACUGAAUGGUAAGGUCAGAUCUGGCAGGAAGUAAAAUGAAGGUCAAAGCUUGUGUCACUAUUCUAUUAAUCAUACACUGCUUUCUUUAACUGGAGUAAAGUAAACGUUGGGUUUUCCUUCUUUAGAGCAUACCAGAAAUUCCUGAUGACAGGAGUGAAAAGAACAGGAUAUUUCUGUCUGACUCACAAAGCAUUUUUGAGAGUACUCCUAGAGGAGACAGAAUUCCAAGUUUAAAAAAAGUUUGAUCUGGUUCAUGGGAAUGUAUUUUAUUUUAUGUAUGUAUGUAUGUAUUUUGAGACAGAGACUCACUCUGUUGCCCUGGCUGGAGUACAGCGGCGUGAUCUUGGCUCACUGCAACCUCUGUCC